UUGACAAAAAAGGAGUGCUACCUGAUUGAAUAUGUUGUUUUACAUUUCUAAUAAAACGUUGACAAUAUAGUUCAGCGGGCAUCUCCAGGAUUGGCCAUCUGCUGUAUUUGCCUGACGGUGCAAACGCAUAGCGGAUCCAAACUUCAUGGCAAAUUCGCUCUUGUGAAAUAUGACCAAACGGCCAAACUCGAUCGCAUUUUUCAAACUUCAUCAAACAUGGGAUUAGAGUAUCAUUUAAACCAACAAGAUUAUGAAGCGAUAAUGCAAAUACAACUCCGUGUUCUGACAUUAAAAAUGAAUUAAUCCAAUGGGAAAGAGUGAUGAUAGUGCUAUGAGUGCAUGCUUCUUAUAAAACAUUACAGAUUAUGAAGUAUUUUUGUAAUGAAAAAAAUGAAGUUCGGAAAAACAAACG
Molecule: non-coding RNA, 412 nt
Organism: Ciona intestinalis (vase tunicate)
Lineage: Eukaryota; Metazoa; Chordata; Ascidiacea; Phlebobranchia; Cionidae
Source: RefSeq, a predicted model, not a curated record